This 596-nucleotide ribosomal RNA is filed under the name uncultured bacterium. Its description in RNAcentral is "bacterial SSU rRNA". The stretch from base 1 to 522 matches the Rfam family "Bacterial small subunit ribosomal RNA", at positions 338 to 873 of the family's 1533-position model. The record is from RNAcentral.
CCUACGGGAGGCAGCAGUGGGGAAUAUUGCACAAUGGGCGGAAGCCUGAUGCAGCGACGCCGCGUGAGGGAUGAAGGCCUUCGGGUUGUAAACCUCUUUCAGCAGGGACGAAGCGUGAGUGACGGUACCUGCAGAAGAAGCACCGGCUAACUACGUGCCAGCAGCCGCGGUAAUACGUAGGGUGCGAGCGUUGUCCGGAAUUACUGGGCGUAAAGAGUUCGUAGGCGGUUUGUCGCGUCGUUUGUGAAAACCCGGGGCUCAACUUCGGGCUUGCAGGCGAUACGGGCAGACUUGAGUGUUUCAGGGGAGACUGGAAUUCCUGGUGUAGCGGUGAAAUGCGCAGAUAUCAGGAGGAACACCGGUGGCGAAGGCGGGUCUCUGGGAAACAACUGACGCUGAGGAACGAAAGCGUGGGUAGCAAACAGGAUUAGAUACCCUGGUAGUCCACGCCGUAAACGGUGGCGCUAGGUGUGGGUUCCUUCCAACGGGAUCUGUGCCGUAGCUAACGCAUUAGCGCCCGCGUCGGAGGACGCGCGAGACGUAAACUACAANAGAGUAGACGGUCGUGAGAGNGCGAGACGACGACGAGGGAGAGG